UUGAAUCCCUCUUCUCUCUCAACUCUUUCUGAAACUCUCCUGAAACCUAGCCGCCGCCCUCUAAUCCCACCCCAAUAUCUACCUAAUCCAUGGCCUCUCAUGGCCAUUUGAGAUAUUGUAUCAGCUCCGUAUGGCUCCUGGUGCUGGUUUCUAUGAUUUCAUGGCCAGACCUUGAGAGAAUCUGGUCCAAUCCUUGCUCGAUUGUUGUUCAUGGCCUUUCUCCAACCAUUCACAAACUUUUUCUGCC
Molecule: long non-coding RNA, 247 nt
Filed under: Nicotiana benthamiana
Lineage: Eukaryota; Viridiplantae; Streptophyta; Magnoliopsida; Solanales; Solanaceae
Description: long non-coding RNA (NBEN_LNC008383)
Source: RNAcentral